AUGGUAGCAUAUCAGUUUGAGUCGAGAGCUCUAAUCGAAACAGUCAUCCAACGAAUCUCUCUGGCAGAGGAUAACUUUCUACUCCUUGCUAUCGUUUCCUUCAAGAAAAUACAUAUUUUGUAUGCUAUAGAUAUACAUAGGCCUAUCUUUAGCCUACAGAAAAAAAACAUCAGACGGACAGCUUUUUGGAGCGCUAUACGGAAAGAAAAAGAUACGGAAUUCCGAAGGUUCGAUUCAUUCAAAGCGAAAAAAUUGGUUACAAUCUUUGGUUUGAUUCGGGGCGUUAAAAAAAAAAACGAAUACAUUUGAAUUUAUGUGAUUAGUUUUGACAUAUGGUUGUAGUCAAAUAUCACGGUGCGAAAUCAGUCUGAUUUCAGUCCGAAUCAGUCUGUAGAUGUAAUUUGCGGAACUAGUAGGCCUAAAUGCGUUUGCCGACUAUUUUCUGAACGCUUCAAUUCAUUGAUCAUAGUAUCAACCAGCGACCGAAAAAGUUGCUGAAAACAAGCUAACACGUCAUCAGACUUCAGGUUGCUAGAAGGGGAUUUCAUUCAGAGGACAUGGAAUCUACAAAAGCAGGGGGUGUAAUAGCCUACAUCAGCUCCUCUAGCCCUGAGUCAUGUCAUAGUGACUCAAAUGACUGCAGCUAUAACUCCUCCCACAGCUGUCGCCAGGACAAUGUGGUGAACAAGCCCCUAAACAUGGCAGGCCUCACCCUCCCGCUGGCCCACACUAUCGCAAAGACCGGACGCUCGGCCUCCACUGCAAAAUGCGACAUUACUAAAAUCAACGGCCUGGUGCUGCUGUGUAAGGUGUGCGGAGACAUUGCAUCUGGAUUCCACUAUGGGGUUCAUGCCUGUGAGGGCUGCAAGGGUUUCUUCCGUCGGAGCAUCCAGCAGAACAUCCAGCAGAACAUCCAGUAUAAGAAAUGCCUGAAGAACGAGAGCUGUGCCAUCAUGAGGAUCAACAGGAACCGCUGCCAGCAGUGUCGCUUCAAGAAGUGUCUGCUUGUCGGCAUGUCCAAGGACUCUGUGCGUUUCGGCCGCAUCCCAAAGCGUGAGAAGCAGCGCAUGCUGCUAGAGAUGCAGAGUGCCGUGAACAACAUGAUGAACAACAGCCAGCUACACAGCCAGUUCCGCUGCAACACACCCUUCCCCCUGGCCAAUCCGCUUCAGUCGCCAGCCUGCCCCGUGGAGCCCCGCCCCCAAUAUGUUGAUUCUGGCCUAGGCUCCGUCCCCUCCUCCUCCACCUCUCCCGCCGCUUCCCCCAGGUCCAACCAAUCUGAGGAGACCAGCUCUGACCGCGAGCCUGCGGUCACCAAGAAUAAAAGCCCCAGCCCUAACUCUGUGUCUCCAUCGAGUGCUUCAGACUGCGGGUCAGAGGAGGUGAUUGGUUCGGUGACCCGGGCCCACCAGGAGACCUUAAUUUACAACCAGGAGCAAGGUAGCCCCUCCCCCGAGUCCCAGGCCUACGCCCAGCUGACCUCCCCGGGGGCGGAGCAACAUGUCAGUGACACUGGAAAGAGGAUAGACGAGAGGAACCGGAACCAACAGGAGGACGGGAACCAGCAGAUUAAGAACCAGAACCACCAAAAUGACCUGGCCUCAUUCACAGCCGCUCAGGCCCAUUACCAGGCUCAGGAGAGGCCCACCAACACUGGGCCUCAGGGUACUGACAGCCACCAUCGCCAGGAGGACCACACUACCAGCCUUAGUGAGAAUUACUGCCCCUACAGCAGGGACAGACUGCCCACCUGCUCCCCUAGUGGCCACUGCCCAUCCUACGCCCAACAUGGCCUGAGAGGCGGCAACAACAGCACUAGCCAGGCCACCUCCAAUUCCCAUGGAGGAUUCAGUGGACUACUGUGGAACAGGGGCAACAGGAUGCAUUUGCUGUGUCCCAUGAACACGUCUCCCCAUGUGAACCCCCAUAAUUCAGGCCAUGGGAUCUGGGAGGAGUUCAGCCAUAGUUUCACCCCAGCUGUCAGGGAGGUGGUGGAAUUUGCCAAGCGGAUCCCAGGCUUCAGAGACCUCUCCCAACAUGACCAGGUCAGCCUGCUCAAGGCUGGUACCUUUGAGACUUACCCAGCGUCUGCAGUCACUUCACCCAGACUUACCCAGCGUCUGCAGUCACUUCACCCAGACCUACCCAGCGUCUGCAGUCACUUCACCCAGACUUACCCAGCGUCUGCAGUCACUUCACCCAGACUUACCCAGCGUCUGCAGUCACUUCACCCAGACUUACCCAGCGUCUGCAGUCACUUCACCCAGACUUAUCCCAGUGUCUGCUGUCACUUCACCAGGUGCUAGUGGUUCGCUUUGCGUCCCUGUUUGACGUGAAAGACCGCAUAGUGACGUUUCUGGGUGGUAACAAGUACAGCGUGGAGAUGUUACAAGCCAUGGGCGCCGGCGACUUCCUGACCUCCAUGAUGGACUUCAGCGACAAGCUGAUGGGGCUCGGCCUCAGCGAGGAGGAAAUGAGCCUGUUCACCGCUGUCGUCCUCAUCUCUGCCGAUCGCUCAGGGAUUGAGAACGUAAACUCUGUGGAGGCUCUUCAGGAGACUCUGAUCCGGCACCUGAGGGGCCUCAUCACUAAGAACCACCCUAACGAGUCGGCCAUAUUCACCAAGCUGCUCCUCAGACUGCCCGACCUCCGCUCCCUCAAUAACAUGCACUCUGAGCAGCUGCUGGCCUUCAAGGUCCAUCCCUAGACCAGAACUAAGGUCAGAACCUGGGGUGUAUUCAUUAGGCACCAAAUGGAAGAACAUUUACUGAAAUGGGGAGGUACUACCUGAACUUGUCCAAUAAGAAAUGCUUGUCGUUGUCGUCGUCCCACCCCCAUUGCAAAACCUUCUGCUAAGGUGUACCCUAAUGAAUAUGACCAUGGACACUGGGCCUGUGGACCACAAAGCCCAUUUAUCCACCCACCCUGACACACCUCGACCAGCUAUCCCAAUGAACUAUGAACCCUGACCUCCCAAGAGAACCCUCUUAUUCUGCCACUCACUUCACGUGAUCUUUUUCCUUCACAAACAAGUUGAACUGGGCAAAUGUUUCACGGUUACAGGGGACGGAGGCUUAAGACUUAAAAGUUAUUGUACUGUGAGGCUAAAAGGCCUUUAUUGUUGAAGUAAUAACCAUGAACGUCAACAGAAGAUGGAUGUGUAAUGUUUGUCUUGUUUCUGUGUGUGCAGGACACGUUUCCGACUGUACAACUCUUCUUAGAGAAUAACCUUUUAUUAACAUUGUGUAAUGUGCAUUUUUGCAUAAUUUGUGCAAUAUGAUAUGUGACUGACUAUUUAGACUUUUUGUUUAGCUUUUCUACAGCAGGCUCCCUAACCCUGUUCCCAAAGAGCUAACCUCCUGUAGGUUUUUAUUAAUUGAACCUUUAUUUAACUAGUCAAGCCAGUUAAGAACAAAUUCUUAUUUAUAAUGACGGCCUACACCGGCCAAACCCGGGCGACGCUGGGCCAAUUGUGCGCCGCCAUAUGGGACUCCCAAUCUCGGCUGGUUGUGAUAUAGCCUGGAUUCGAUCCAGGGUGUCUGUAGUGACACCUCUAGCACUGAGAUGCAGUGCCUUAGACCGCUGCGCCACUCCAACCCUGUUCCCAGAGAGAUACCUUCCUGUAGGUUUUAACUCCAACCCUGUUCCCAGAGAGAUACCUUCCUGUAGGUUUUAACUCCAACCCUGUUCCCGGAGAGAUACCCUCCUGUAGGUUUUAACUCCAACCCUGUUCCCGGAGAGAUACCCUCCAGUAGGUUUUAACUCCAACCCUGUUCCCGGAGAGAUACCCUCCUGUAGGUUUUAACUCCAACCCUUAUCUAGCACACUUGAUUCUAACAAUUAGCUGGUUGAUAAACUGAAUCAGAUUAGGUCCAACUGGGGUUGGUGUUAGAACCUACAGGAAGCUAGUUCUCCAAGAACAGGAUUAGAGAGCCCCGUUCUACACCUUGGGUGUAUGUCUGUGGUUUAUUUAGGCAGACUAAUCCAAAAGGAUGUUGUGCUUACUGCCUAAAGAGAGGGUGAUUCUAAAGGGGGUUAGGGCUAGUUAAACUCAACACCUCUAGUUCAAAGUAAACUGACAAUGACAAUGAAUGACCACAGAGAAGUGUUAAGCCUCCUUUCUAAACUGUGUUGAGACAAGGGGAAUGUGGUAAAAGCAUAGGUAGACCUAUGUAAUCAUGGUAAACGCUGCUACUUCACAUCUGUCUCAGUGUGGCCUUAGCUAGUCACCUGAGGAAGAGCUUUCAAUGUCUUUUAUUUGUUGUUGAGAGGAAUCUCUUAUUUCAAGCUUACAGUUUGAGUUGAUGGUGCAGCAGUUGUAUCACAGACAGUUGGUGGCACCUUAAUUGGGGAGGAUGGCCAUGUGUUUGAUGCCAUUCCAUUCGCUCCCGUUCCGGACAUUGUGAACUGUCCUCCCCUCAGCAACAUCCUUUGGUGUAUAUGUUUUACACGCUAUCAUUUUCCAGAGGGGGUUAUGUUGUAAAUCAUGAAAUGUUCUUGUAGGUAAUGAUGUUGGGUUAUGAACUAACUGAAGUCCAUCAUUGACAGACGUGUUCCCGUCACUUAAUCAUUAUAGUGUAUUGUGAUAGACCUCCCAUUUGAAGAAUAGGGGAGCAAACAGACAGGAAGUCAAAUACAUGGAGGUUAUUUGAACUGCCAAAGGUUAACGUUGCUAACCAGUAUAACCUAUCAACACAUCUCCACUUGGAGGCAUUUUAGUUAUUUCCAUGUCAAAAGGAGACAUUUCAUAUUUUACACUUGUUAUACCCAUUUCAUAUUUUACACUUGUUAUACCCAUUUUAUAUUUUUCAUUUUGGUGCAAAUUGUUAAAUCAAAACAUGCGGUUUGAUUUUACAGGUGAAAACUGUACUUUGAUUGCUAAUUAUGCAUUUAAUUUGUUUACUGUAAAAAUGUUGUUUUGUGCGCACAUACUUGAUAUCGUGUCUUCGAAGCCCAUUCAGGCUGGGCACCAAUUGGUGUACGACUUUGAUUUGAUUUUCUUUCUAUCAUUACACAAACACAUGGAGGCUAUGCAGACUUGUGUCAUGUUGCUGUAGGGUCGGGGGUUGUGAGAAGGGAGAGACAUUGUAAGAAUGUUUUGUCAUUCAGUUGGACUCAUACAUACCACUGUCUCAAAUGUUUAAACAGAGGACCACUAAACUUGAAUAGAUUGAUGCUUUUGUCCUCUACCAUAAGUUUUCAAAUCUGUACACAGACUACAGAUAUAGUCAUGAAGUAAUGUAAAUAGGUGGAUUCUACUCAAAUACAGUAUGAUUGUAAAUAACA
Molecule: RNA transcript, 5286 nt
Organism: Oncorhynchus kisutch (coho salmon)
Lineage: Eukaryota; Metazoa; Chordata; Actinopteri; Salmoniformes; Salmonidae
Gene name: nuclear receptor subfamily 1 group D member 2
Exons: 8
Source: RefSeq, a predicted model, not a curated record